GGUUAAGCGACUAAGCGUACACGGUGGAUGCCCUGGCAGUCAGAGGCGAUGAAGGACGUGCUAAUCUGCGAAAAGCGUCGGUAAGGUGAUAUGAACCGUUAUAACCGGCGAUGUCCGAAUGGGGAAACCCAGUGCAAUUCGUUGCACUAUCGUUAACUGAAUACAUAGGUUAACGAGGCGAACCGGGGGAACUGAAACAUCUAAGUACCCCGAGGAAAAGAAAUCAACCGAGAUUCCCCCAGUAGCGGCGAGCGAACGGGGAGCAGCCCAGAGUCUGAAUCAGCUUGUGUGUUAGUGGAACGGUCUGGAAAGUCCGACGGUACAGGGUGAUAGUCCCGUACACCAAAAUGCACAGGUUGUGAACUCGAAGAGUAGGGCGGGACACGUGGUAUCCUGUCUGAAUAUGGGGGGACCAUCCUCCAAGGCUAAAUACUCCUGACUGACCGAUAGUGAACCAGUACCGUGAGGGAAAGGCGAAAAGAACCCCGGCGAGGGGAGUGAAAAAGAACCUGAAACCGUGUACGUACAAGCAGUGGGAGCACCUUCGGGUGUGACUGCGUACCUUUUGUAUAAUGGGUCAGCGACUUAUAUUCUGUAGCAAGGUUAACCGUAUAGGGGAGCCGCAGGGAAACCGAGUCUUAACUGGGCGUUAAGUUGCAGGGUAUAGACCCGAAACCCGGUGAUCUAGCCAUGGGCAGGUUGAAGGUUGGGUAACACUAACUGGAGGACCGAACCGACUAAUGUUGAAAAAUUAGCGGAUGACUUGUGGCUGGGGGUGAAAGGCCAAUCAAACCGGGAGAUAGCUGGUUCUCCCCGAAAGCUAUUUAGGUAGCGCCUCGUGAACUCAUCUUCGGGGGUAGAGCACUGUUUCGGCUAGGGGGUCAUCCCGACUUACCAACCCGAUGCAAACUACGAAUACCGAAGAAUGUUAUCACGGGAGACACACGGCGGGUGCUAACGUCCGUCGUGAAGAGGGAAACAACCCAGACCGCCAGCUAAGGUCCCAAAGUCAUGGUUAAGUGGGAAACGAUGUGGGAAGGCACAGACAGCCAGGAUGUUGGCUUAGAAGCAGCCAUCAUUUAAAGAAAGCGUAAUAGCUCACUGGUCGAGUCGGCCUGCGCGGAAGAUGUAACGGGGCUAAACCAUGCACCGAAGCUGCGGCAGCGACACUAUGUGUUGUUGGGUAGGGGAGCGUUCUGUAAGCCUGCGAAGGUGACCUGUGAGGGUUGCUGGAGGUAUCAGAAGUGCGAAUGCUGACAUAAGUAACGAUAAAGCGGGUGAAAAGCCCGCUCGCCGGAAGACCAAGGGUUCCUGUCCAACGUUAAUCGGGGCAGGGUGAGUCGACCCCUAAGGCGAGGCCGAAAGGCGUAGUCGAUGGGAAACAGGUUAAUAUUCCUGUACUUGGUGUUACUGCGAAGGGGGGACGGAGAAGGCUAUGUUAGCCGGGCGACGGUUGUCCCGGUUUAAGCAUGUAGGCUGAUUGUCCAGGCAAAUCCGGAUAAUCAAGGCUGAGGUGUGAUGACGAGGCACUACGGUGCUGAAGUAACAAAUGCCCUGCUUCCAGGAAAAGCCUCUAAGCAUCAGGUAACAUCAAAUCGUACCCCAAACCGACACAGGUGGUCAGGUAGAGAAUACCAAGGCGCUUGAGAGAACUCGGGUGAAGGAACUAGGCAAAAUGGUGCCGUAACUUCGGGAGAAGGCACGCUGGUGUGUAGGUGAAGCCCCUGCGGGUGGAGCUGAGACCAGUCGAAGAUACCAGCUGGCUGCAACUGUUUAUUAAAAACACAGCACUGUGCAAACACGAAAGUGGACGUAUACGGUGUGACGCCUGCCCGGUGCCGGAAGGUUAAUUGAUGGGGUUAUCCGUAAGGAGAAGCUCUUGAUCGAAGCCCCGGUAAACGGCGGCCGUAACUAUAACGGUCCUAAGGUAGCGAAAUUCCUUGUCGGGUAAGUUCCGACCUGCACGAAUGGCGUAAUGAUGGCCAGGCUGUCUCCACCCGAGACUCAGUGAAAUUGAACUCGCUGUGAAGAUGCAGUGUACCCGCGGCAAGACGGAAAGACCCCGUGAACCUUUACUAUAGCUUGACACUGAACAUUGAGCCUUGAUGUGUAGGAUAGGUGGGAGGCUUUGAAGCGUGGACGCCAGUCUGCGUGGAGCCAACCUUGAAAUACCACCCUUUAAUGUUUGAUGUUCUAACGUUGGCCCCUGACCGGGGUUGCGGACAGUGUCUGGUGGGUAGUUUGACUGGGGCGGUCUCCUCCCAAAGCGUAACGGAGGAGCACGAAGGUUAGCUAAUCCUGGUCGGACAUCAGGAGGUUAGUGCAAUGGCAUAAGCUAGCUUGACUGCGAGCGUGACGGCGCGAGCAGGUGCGAAAGCAGGUCAUAGUGAUCCGGUGGUUCUGAAUGGAAGGGCCAUCGCUCAACGGAUAAAAGGUACUCCGGGGAUAACAGGCUGAUACCGCCCAAGAGUUCAUAUCGACGGCGGUGUUUGGCACCUCGAUGUCGGCUCAUCACAUCCUGGGGCUGAAGUAGGUCCCAAGGGUAUGGCUGUUCGCCAUUUAAAGUGGUACGCGAGCUGGGUUUAGAACGUCGUGAGACAGUUCGGUCCCUAUCUGCCGUGGGCGCUGGAGAAUUGAGGGGGGCUGCUCCUAGUACGAGAGGACCGGAGUGGACGCAUCACUGGUGUUCGGGUUGUCAUGCCAAUGGCACUGCCCGGUAGCUAAAUGCGGAAGAGAUAAGUGCUGAAAGCAUCUAAGCACGAAACUUGCCCCGAGAUGAGUUCUCCCUGAGACUUUAAGUCUCCUGAAGGAACGUUGAAGACGACGACGUUGAUAGGCCGGGUGUGUAAGCGCAGCGAUGCGUUGAGCUAACCGGUACUAAUGAACCGUGAGGCUUAACCUU
This 2902-nucleotide ribosomal RNA is filed under the name Klebsiella pneumoniae. RNAcentral describes it as "23S ribosomal RNA". It matches the Rfam family "Bacterial large subunit ribosomal RNA". The record is from RNAcentral. Lineage: Bacteria; Pseudomonadati; Pseudomonadota; Gammaproteobacteria; Enterobacterales; Enterobacteriaceae.